AUUAAAAAAUUUGGUAGGAGAGAAAACAUUUUCCCGCAAAAUAUUUUGUCGUAGUUGGUUAUGAGAAAAUAGUGCUCCGUUAUUGUAACAUCUCCAAUGGCGACGCUAAAUCUUCCUACUGGAACGCAACGCAACGCACGCUUUCAGAUCGCCUUUCGGAAUCAAAUCGUGGCCGUUAAAUUCCCCCGAGCAAAUCGAUUAACCUGUAAUAUUUAAAAAGGAGAGCAGGGUGUUACAGAAUACAAUGCCGAUGAUGGAAGGUGGAUAACUUCGGGGCAGUUCUCUAGCAUGGAUGGAAGUGCCUUGAAUAGCUGCAACUGGUUGUGCCUCCUAGUGUAUAUCUCUUGUUUGGUUACCCCGGGAAUAGAAAAGAUGAGCAACUUAUGUGGAGAUUUCAGAUGAUGCUGAGGUUAGAUAGUCUCUAGAUGACGCUGAAGAAGUCUUUUCUCGAGCUCUCAAGCGUUUUACUGCUACAACGAGAAAGGAAGGACUCGGAAGUUAAGAGCAGUCCAGCUCUAUGGAGAAUUCUGCAGAGCUGAGUAUUUUGAAGUGACUGAGUUUGAACAUUGGAGAGGGAGGAAAUCCUAAUACCAAUCAGAAACUCUACACAAAAUGUUGUUCUGGUGACUGCGUAUCUUCCUCUUAUUCAUAUGGCUCUGGCAAAACAUGCCUAAGAUAUGAUCCAUAUCAGCGGAUUUAUCACCCCCUUAUGAGCCCACGUGGCAUAUAGAGUGUAUUCACUCUCCAAUAGCGCGUGAGGUAGGUUUUUUUUUUUUUUUAAUUCAUUUUAGCAUUUGUUUCAUUAAAAAAUACCUUUUCCUUUUACUUUAUUUAUUUUAUUUAAUAUUUUAUUUUUCCUUAUCUUCUUCAGCAAGAAGACCCAAUUGGUUACCCUUUUUUUUCUUCUAUGGACUUUUCGGAAUCGUCCUUAUUCUCUGUCUUUUUUUGCUUUUGAGUUUUGUUAUGGAGAUUGGGGUAAGUCAUUGGAGAUGGAAUGGCGGUUUGAAGGUGAUUUCUAAUUUUCAAAGUUUGAUUUGGUGAUGGUUAAUGCUAUUUUGAUUGGAGAUGGAAUGGUGGUUCUUCCAAUUCUGGCCGGUUUGAAAAACAAUACUUUUGUUUUCUAUCUUAUUCUUUUUUUUUUUUUAGUUGGGUUCAUUAAUUUUUUUUCCCUCCUAAAAAUGGAGGUUGAAAGUGGUGAGGUUAAGGGAUAUUGAUUUGAGGGUAAGAAGUUGGAUAGAUGUCGAUUUAAAUUUCAGAUUUGGUUUGGUGCUAAUUUUAAUUAUUUGGCGGUGGUUUGACAACUUUCGGUGGUGCUGUGGUGGAAUUGGUGGUGCAAUGGCGGUGAUGAAGUGGCUAAGGUGGGGGGAACUUCUAUAGAAGUUGAGGUGAAGAAGAAGGGGGGAAAGAAAAAUAAAAGAAAAGAAAGAAAAGGAAUCAAAUAGGAAAAAUAAAAAAUAAAAAAAUUUAAAAAUCAAUUUGACACGUGGCAAGUGAUGAUUGAUGCGUGAGUUACACAAAUCUUCUUAUACUUGGGGUUGAUCGAAAAAGCAUGAAUAUAUACUAUUUUAAAGUUAUUAGGGGGGUCAUAGGAUCCCACAAAGUUAAAGUGUCUUAUUGAGAAAAGGUGGCAUAAACUCUUAAGGGCCAAAGUUUUAACAUAUUUGAAAGCUGUCAAAAGGCCUAGCAAUCAUACUCGCGACUUUUUUGACAGACGUCGUCUUUGUUUUACUGCAAAGUGUUAGGCUUUGGCCCUUUCUUAGUCUUGUCAUUUUGUAGCUUCCUAACAUAUGAUAGCUGGCUUCAUUUACUCCACAAUUAUAUGAUCUCUUUUUUUUAAAAAACAUCUAUUCUCUACACUCCACAAAAAAAAAAAAAAAAAAAAAAAAAAAAGCAGAGAAGUGCAUAUUUGUGUACAUGUUUUAAGCAUAAAAUUUGAUUCUAACUCAAUCUUAAAAUAUAGUUUAAGCAGUGAAAAUUGCGUAAGAUCAUAUAAAAACACUAUUAUUUAUAUAAUUAACUUGUAUUUGAAAUUUUAAUGCACUCUGUAUUUAGUGUGGAUUAAUUUGUGGGAUUUCACUGGGUUGUUGUUGCUGUUGUUGUAGAAGUUUGAGUAGCAUACGAAGAGCGCGAUAAUAGAUUGGAAAAGAAGUUGUUAAAAGUUGCUUAAUAGAUUAGGAAAGGUAUGAACUUAAUUAUACGUUGCGUUAAUUGGCAUCGAAUGAAAGUUUUUUCUGAGAAAAUGGUUUUUGCUGUGUACAACUUGUGCUAACUUCUUAGAUAAAUGUGAGAAUAGUAUAUACUAUCUCGCCAUUUAUGGCUCUCUAAAAUCAUGUACUAUUUCUUAUGUUUGCCUCUUGAUUCAGAAAUGAAGAGUGGUUACUGCUUGCGUGCUAUAUAUCUGUUCUAUGUGUGGAGAAGCAUGAGUACACCAUUCAGCAGCUAGUAUAUUGGCAGUUGAAGGUCAUGCUAAUAUAAGGCUAUUAUAGUUUGUGUAUGGAGUUUCAAUUUGGAAAAAUCGGAGAUGUUGCAACUCCAUUAGUAGUCAUCUUGAAAUUACUUCUUCAUUAACUUAAGGGUCUUGCUUCUUUUGUUACUUCAAAAUAGAAAAAGGAGAGCAGGGUGUUACAGAAUACAAUGCUGAUGAUGGAAGGUGGAUAACUUCGGGGCAGUUCUCUAGCAUGGAUGGAAGUGCCUUGAAUAGCUGCAACUGGUUGUGCCUCCUAGUGUAUAUGUCUUGUUUAGUUACCCCGGGAAUAGAAAAGAUGAGCAACUUAUGUGGAGAUUUCAGAUGAUGCUGAGGUUAGAUAGUCUCUAGGUAUGGAGUACUGAAGUAUUAUGGACCCAAACGGAGCAUUUAUGAUAUUGAGAAUUCAUACAGCCGACCCCAACUACCUUGGGAUUAGGCGUAAUUGUUAUUGUUGUUGUUUCAGAUGACGCUGAGGAAGUCUUUUCUCGAGCUCUCAAGCAUUUUACUGAGUAAAAGCUCAGUGAAGGAUGGACAGUAUGUCACUCUUGUCCAAAGUGGAGCACAACCAAUCUAGCGUGGAAAAUCUAUUUACCAUAUACAAAUUCGUAAGGUCAAAAGUUGAUUUUGUGCCAUAACAUUUUAUUUAAGUAGAAAUCAUGUUGUGUUGUGUAGUUGGCAUCUAGGCUAUAGUUUUGUCAUUUUCUCUUACAUACAGUUUCCUUUUUAGCUGGACUUGUUCCUUCUGUGAUGAAAUAUAGAAGUUCCUUAAGGGUGAAAUUUUUUGCGAUGGCAGAGUUGUUUUUAUAAUUGUUACAUCAAUUAGGUUGCUGCAUCAAACAAUGUCUUCAACAAUGUGGGAAAUCUGAUUGUCCGUGGUUGACGUUUA
Long non-coding RNA from Lycium barbarum (goji berry), 3353 nucleotides. RefSeq lists it as uncharacterized. NCBI's taxonomy places the organism in Eukaryota, Viridiplantae, Streptophyta, Magnoliopsida, Solanales, Solanaceae. The record is from RefSeq and is a predicted model, not a curated record. The transcript is spliced from 6 exons.